Molecule: long non-coding RNA, 665 nt
Organism: Lolium rigidum
Lineage: Eukaryota; Viridiplantae; Streptophyta; Magnoliopsida; Poales; Poaceae
Exons: 6
Source: RefSeq, a predicted model, not a curated record
GUGCCGGUGCGGCUUCUUCUUUUUUCCUUCCGGUGAGCACCUUGUGCUGGGCACUGGAGUAUUGCAUGCCCUUUUUGGAUGAGAUUUGUGUAUCCACGUGCUGCUGCCCAUCUACAUGACUUGAGGUUGUCCCGUUUGUUCUAGCGGAGGCAGGUCUUCUGUGAGGAUUGUAGCUGCAGGAGAUAGGGUCAGUACACCAGAUUUCAGCAUCACAGUCAUUGUACUGGUUGCCGCAGUGAUGCUUCUCCGCACAGGUGCCGGUGGUUGCGACUGUCGACAAUUGUGUGUCAUACAACAUGUCCAUCACAUGUUUGAUCAGGCUGCCUCAAUGACGGUUAUGACCGUGGCGCAGGUCACUUAUUGCUGCAAUAGCUGGAGAGGUUGGAAAGGAGCGUGAAUUGUAUGGCCAGUCUCUUGUAAGAGACUGGCGCCAGUGCAAUUGAAGCGGGGCGAGGUGAUACCGCUGCUGUGCAGCAGCCUGGCAGGCGGUGGGACCGCGGGAGUGGAGUUCAAGACCACAAGCGCGGCUUUGGAAGCGGUGCUUGUCGAGCGACUACGAUCACAGCUGAUGUCAAGAUGCUAACUUGAGCUUCUCCCAACGCCCGCCUUGUUCAAAAGAGAUACUAGAAAGGGUCAUUACCUUGGAUUCAUUGUUAUUAUUUCAU